This 287-nucleotide non-coding RNA is filed under the name Ophiophagus hannah (king cobra). Its description in RNAcentral is "Eukaryotic large subunit ribosomal RNA". It matches the Rfam family "Eukaryotic large subunit ribosomal RNA", at positions 675 to 954 of the family's 3401-position model. The record is from Rfam by way of RNAcentral. Lineage: Eukaryota; Metazoa; Chordata; Lepidosauria; Squamata; Elapidae.
UUACGUAUAUGUGUGAGUGAGUGGGAUAGCAAAAUAUGUGUGAAUGGUGGAUGCUAGAGAAAAUAACCAAGGCCUAGUUAAAAGUGCACCACCAGUUCAUCUCACCUGCCUCAUUGGGAAGGUGUAGCAUGAGCAUGUGUGCUAAGACUCAAAAGAGGAUGAACUAUGCCUAGGCAGGGUGAAGCCAGAGGAAACUCUGGUGAAGGUCCACAGUGAUCCUGACGUGCAAAUUGGUUAUCUAACCUGGGUAUAAUGGUGAAAGCCUAAUCAAAUCAUCUAGUGGCUGG